Trametes versicolor FP-101664 SS1 is the source of this 85-nucleotide non-coding RNA. The record is from the annotation of a RefSeq genome assembly. NCBI's taxonomy places the organism in Eukaryota, Fungi, Basidiomycota, Agaricomycetes, Polyporales, Polyporaceae.
GGCCUGGUGGUCUAGUAGUAUGAUUCCUUCUUAGGGUCUUCCGACAGUCUGGAGGAGGUCCCGGGUUCAAUUCCCGGCCAGGCCC